CCUUCGUUGAUGAUUAGUUUCUGACUUUCGUUCUUCUGAGAUUGCUGAAGCCAGAUACCAUUGCUGAGAAGG
Small nucleolar RNA from Cricetulus griseus (Chinese hamster), 72 nucleotides. Ensembl annotates it as small nucleolar RNA SNORD59. NCBI's taxonomy places the organism in Eukaryota, Metazoa, Chordata, Mammalia, Rodentia, Cricetidae. The record is from Ensembl.